UCGAGAAGAACUUUACCAGGCCUUGACAUCCUGGGAACCCUCCCGAAAAGGAGGGGUGCUUUGGGGGCNCCCAGCCAGAGGUGCCAUGCCGUUGUUCACAUCNUGUGUUGNGAGAUUGGGUNAAAUCUCCNAAAAAGAGCAACCCCCUUCCCUNGUUCCCACCAGNUAUGGUNGGGAAUUUCAGGGGGGUGCCCGGGGCAAACCGGGAGGAAGGUGGGGAGGAGGUNAGUUCCAUGGCCCUAAGGGCCGGGGUUCCCCACGUGUUCCAAUGNCCGGUCCAGAGGGUGGCCACCUCGGGAGAGGGGGCAANUCCAAAAAACCGGUCCCAGUUCGGAUUGGAGUUUGCAACUUGACUCCCNGAAGUUGGAAUCGCUANUAAUNGCNGNACAA
Molecule: ribosomal RNA, 390 nt
Filed under: uncultured bacterium
Lineage: Bacteria
Description: partial 16S ribosomal RNA
Rfam family: Bacterial small subunit ribosomal RNA
Source: RNAcentral